RNAcentral lists this ribosomal RNA (232 nucleotides) under uncultured bacterium. Its description in RNAcentral is "partial 16S ribosomal RNA". It matches the Rfam family "Bacterial small subunit ribosomal RNA", at positions 103 to 334 of the family's 1533-position model. The record is from RNAcentral.
CGGGUGAGUAACGCGUGGGUAACCUGCCUUGUACUGGGGGGCGAACAGUUGGAAACGACUGCUAAUACCGCAUAAGCGCACAGCUUCGCAUGAAGCAGUGUGAAAAACUCCGGUGGUACAAGAUGGACCCGCGUCUGAUUAGCUGGUUGGUGAGGUAACGGCCCACCAAGGCGACGAUCAGUAGCCGGCCUGAGAGGGUGAACGGCCACAUUGGGACUGAGACACGGCCCAA